AUACGGAGGGGGCUAGCGUUGUUCGGAAUUACUGGGCGUAAAGCGUACGUAGGCGGACUGAUCAGUUGGGGGUGAAAUCCCAGGGCUUAACCCUGGAACUGCCUUCAAUACUGUCAGUCUUGAGAUUGGAAGAGGUGAGUGGAAUUCCUAGUGUAGAGGUGAAAUUCAUAGAUAUUAGGAGGAACACCAGUGGCGAAGGCGGCUCACUGGUCAAAUACUGACGCUGAGGUACGAAAGCGUGGGGAGCAAACAGGAUUAGAUACCCUAGUAGUCC
This 274-nucleotide ribosomal RNA is filed under the name uncultured bacterium. Its description in RNAcentral is "partial 16S ribosomal RNA". It matches the Rfam family "Bacterial small subunit ribosomal RNA", at positions 523 to 796 of the family's 1533-position model. The record is from RNAcentral.